Molecule: ribosomal RNA, 666 nt
Filed under: Suzukiozyma candida
Lineage: Eukaryota; Fungi; Ascomycota; Pichiomycetes; Serinales; Debaryomycetaceae
Description: eukaryotic LSU rRNA
Rfam family: Eukaryotic large subunit ribosomal RNA (bases 73-666)
Source: RNAcentral
GGUUUAUCCAACUCGUUGAUACAGGUGGUGCGAUUCUUCAUUAGGCUUUGCCUUAUAAAACACAAACAAGUUUGACCUCAAAUCAGGUAGGAUUACCCGCUGAACUUAAGCAUAUCAAUAAGCGGAGGAAAAGAAACCAACAGGGAUUGCCUUAGUAACGGCGAGUGAAGCGGCAAAAGCUCAAAUUUGAAAUCUAGCACCUUCGGUGUUCGAGUUGUAAUUUGAAGAAGGUAACCUUGGGAUUGGCUCUUGUCUAUGUUUCUUGGAACAGAACGUCACAGAGGGUGAGAAUCCCGUGCGAUGAGAUGACCAAUUCUAUGUAAGGUGCUUUCGAAGAGUCGAGUUGUUUGGGAAUGCAGCUCUAAGUGGGUGGUAAAUUCCAUCUAAAGCUAAAUAUUGGCGAGAGACCGAUAGCGAACAAGUACAGUGAUGGAAAGAUGAAAAGAACUUUGAAAAGAGAGUGAAAAAGUACGUGAAAUUGUUGAAAGGGAAGGAUAUGAGAUCAGACUUGGUGUUUUGCAACCUUAUCUUCGGAUGGGGCCCCUGCAGUUCAUCGGGCCAGCAUCAGUUUGGAUGGUAGGAUAAUGACAUUGGAAUGUGACUUGGCUUCGGUUAAGUGUUAUAGCCCUUGUUGAUACUGCCUGUCUAGACUGAGGACUGCGUCUU